CCUACGGGUGGCAGCAGUGAGGAAUAUUGGUCAAUGGACGCAAGUCUGAACCAGCCAUGCCGCGUGCAGGAAGACGGCUCUAUGAGUUGUACACUGCUUUUGUACGAGGGUAAACGCAGAUACGUGUAUCUGUCUGAAAGUAUCGUACGAAUAAGCAUCGGCUAACUCCGUGCCAGCAGCCGCGGUAAUACGGAGGAUUCAAGCGUUAUCCGGAUUUAUUGGGUUUAAAGGGUGCGUAGGCGGUCGGAUAAGUUAGAGGUGAAAUCCCGGGGCUCAACGUCGGAAGUGCCGCUGAUACUGUUCUGCUAGAGAGUAGGUGCGGUAGGCGGAAUGUAUGGUGUAGCGGUGAAAUGCUUAGAGAUCAUACAGAACACCGAUUGCGAAGGCAGCUUACCAAGCUACUUCUGACGUUGAGGCACGAAAGCGUGGGGAGCAAACAGGAUUAGAUACCCGUGUAGUC
This 460-nucleotide ribosomal RNA is filed under the name uncultured bacterium. RNAcentral describes it as "partial 16S ribosomal RNA". It matches the Rfam family "Bacterial small subunit ribosomal RNA", at positions 338 to 795 of the family's 1533-position model. The record is from RNAcentral.